Molecule: ribosomal RNA, 253 nt
Filed under: uncultured bacterium
Lineage: Bacteria
Description: partial 16S ribosomal RNA
Rfam family: Bacterial small subunit ribosomal RNA
Source: RNAcentral
UACAGAGGUCCCAAGCGUUGUUCGGAUUCACUGGGCGUAAAGGGUGCGUAGGCGGUCGGGUAAGUCUGAUGUGAAAUCUCACAGCUUAACUGUGAAACUGCAUUGGAUACUAUCCGGCUCGAGGAAUGGAGGGGAGACUGGAAUACUUGGUGUAGCAGUGAAAUGCGUAGAUAUUACCAGGAACACCAAUGGCGAAGGCAGCUUGCUGGGCCACUCCUGACACUGAGGUACGAAAGCGUGGGGAGCGAACAGG